Molecule: ribosomal RNA, 505 nt
Filed under: uncultured bacterium
Lineage: Bacteria
Description: bacterial SSU rRNA
Rfam family: Bacterial small subunit ribosomal RNA
Source: RNAcentral
AACGACGCUGGCGGCGUGACUUAACACAUGACAAGUCGAACGACGGAAAGGGGCGUUCGGUCCUGAGUAAAGUGGCGCACGGGUGAGUAACGCGUGGAUAAUCUACCCGAUGGACCGGGAUAACAUUUCGAAAGGGGUGCUAAUACCGGAUAAGACCACGGGCUCUUUGGGGUCUGUGGUAAAAGGUGGGGACCUUCGGGCCUACCGUCAAUGGAUGAGUCCGCGUACCAUUAGCUAGUUGGUGGGGUAAGAGCCUACCAAGGCGACGAUGGUUAGCUGGUCUGAGAGGAUGAUCAGCCACACUGGAACUGAGACACGGUCCAGACUCCUACGGGAGGCAGCAGUGGGGAAUUUUGCGCAAUGGGGGAAACCCUGACGCAGCAACGCCGCGUGAGUGAUGAAGGCCUUCGGGUCGUAAAGCUCUGUCAGAGGGGAAGAAAUGCAGGGGCGCUAAUAUCGCUUAUGCUUGACGGUACCCUCAAAGGAAGCACCGGCUAACUCCGUG